UCUAGAGGCUUCGGCAAUGGGGGAAACCCUGACCGAGCGACGCCGCGUGUGGGAUUGAAGGCCUUCGGGUCGUAAACCACUGUCAGGAGGGAAGAAUGCCCCUAUGGUGAAUAGGGGAGAGACGGUACCUCCAGAGGAAGCCCCGGCUAACUCCGUGCCAGCAGCCGCGGUAAUACGGAGGGGGCAAGCGUUGUUCGGAUUUACUGGGCGUAAAGGGUCCGUAGGCGGUUGUGUAAGUCUGGUGUGAAAUCUUCGCCGCUUAACGGGAAGCAGCCACUGGAAACUGCAUAACUUGAGUAUGGUAGAGGCAAGCGGAAUUCCUGGUGUAGCGGUGGAAUGUGUAGAUAUCAGGAAGAACAUCUGUGGCGAAGGCGGCUUGCUGGGCCAUUACUGACGCUGAGGGACGAAAGCGUGGGGAGCAAACGG
RNAcentral lists this ribosomal RNA (426 nucleotides) under uncultured bacterium. RNAcentral describes it as "bacterial SSU rRNA". It matches the Rfam family "Bacterial small subunit ribosomal RNA", at positions 355 to 775 of the family's 1533-position model. The record is from RNAcentral.